AACAUCACGAGAAGAGAGAGGAUGCCACGAUGGUAUAUGGGGAUAUAGGAGGGGCGGGGUGGUUCGCUUGAAGCAGAUUUGUAAUAAACGGUGGUUGGGUGAAGUAGCAGUGGGUGGAGUUACUUGAAAAGAUGCUCUGGGUGUUGGAGAAGUUGUCGCCUUCGCUCACCGAGCCAUGCGUAAGGAAGCGUGACCCGCCCUCGGUGAGAGGAGGAUGCUCGAGGAUGAGGCAGGAGCGGACAAGAGACCGGUCCAUCCGCUGAGCACAGCUAUGAAGAUCCAGGCCGGGGGCGAGCACAUUGGCGCCGGCAAGGGCGGCGAAAGCCAGGAAAGCCAGGUCAUCUGUUUGCAGUGUCAGGACGAGGUGCUGAGGGUCUGUCCGGGCAGCCCGCGCAGUCCGCGCCGCGCCAUCGCCACGCGCCUCUCCUCCGGAUCCGCAGACCGCGAGCCCAGCAGCAGCAGCUACAAUGUCUCUUCAGGAACCUUCUACAGCUGUGUCAGUCAGAUCACCAUUGGGAUCGACCUUGGGGGUCAAGUGGCCAUCGAGUUCUCCCACUGGAAGAGUCCCAUGGCGGCCCAUGGCCAGGACCUGCCAAGCCCGGAUUGCGUUCGCUCGGAGGCCUCCGCUGUCCCACCCAUCAGCGAGCACCUUGAGCCGGUGUCGUGCCCGGCGUCGCUGUCCGUCACGCCACUGCCCACCUGCAGCGCCAGCCAGGAGACGCUCUGCGACAGCAGCACAAGUGUGAGUUUAUCUCUACAUGGGUCUGAGCCCCAGCGGCAGAGCCCCCACCGACGCAACGUUCCGCUGCAGUCCUCAGCCUCCGGCUACCAGGCGACGGACAGACCCCUUGCCUUCUCCAUCCGUGCGAAGGCGAUCAUCAUGGAGGACACCUCAGCUGAAGCGCCCGACUCAAGCACUCAGGAUGAGGGGCCUCCCCUAGCUGCGAGGGACGUUAAUGUGCUUCUUGAGAGGGAAAGAACGGUGAGCAGCAGCAGCCCGACCGGAGACAACGACUCCACCCUACUGAACCCGGCGACCCACAGCAGCAUCCUGGACGACAACACAAAGUCAGACGCUGGCGUCCCCGAGGGUAGGAGCAGGUACAGUGGUCUCUGCUUCAGUGAUGGAAAGAGUCGCAUCGAUUACAUCCUGGUCUAUAGGAAGUCCAGCGCACAGUCCGAGAAGAGGGAGGUGUUUGAAAGGAAUGUCCGUGCAGAGGGCCUACACAUGGAAAAGGAGGCGUCUUUAACGAACAGCGACGUGAUUUUUCUCAAGCUCCACGCACCGUGGGACGUGCUGUGCCGCUACGCGGAGCUGAUGAACAUCCGGAUGCCUUUCAGGAGGAAAAUUUUUUACAUGCACAGACGGCACAAGUUUAUGAGCAGGAUGGAAAAGCGCAUCAACAAAUUUCGCGGCUGGCUUCCCCGCAAGCCCAUGAAGUUCGACAACAACACUCUGCCGGACCUGGAGGAGAACGAGAGCUUCACCGCCCCCUUCAGUCGGUCGAGGAUACAUCAUUUCAUCAUCCACAACAAAGACAGUUUUUUCAGCAACGCCACGAGAAGUCGGAUCGUGCAUCACAUCCUCCAAAGGGUCAGAUACGAGGAAGGGAAGAAUAAGAUGGGGCUUAACCGUCUUUUGAGCAAUAAUUCCUAUGAAGCGGCUUUCCCCCUUCAUGAGGGGAGCUACCACAGCAAAAAUCCUGUCCGAACGCACGGCGCCGAGAACCACCGUCACCUGCUGUACGAGUGCUGGGCCUGGUGGGGGGUCUGGUACAAAUACCAGCCGCUGGACCUCAUCAGGAGAUAUUUCGGGGAGAAGAUCGGGCUGUACUUCGCGUGGCUCGGCUGGUACACGGGGAUGCUCUUUCCCGCCGCAUUGGUUGGCCUUCUGGUAUUCCUGUACGGCAUCUUCACUUUGGAGCACUGCCAGGUCAGUAAAGAAAUCUGCCAGGCCACCAACGUCAUAAUGUGUCCCAUCUGCGACCAGUACUGCCCCUACCUGAGGCUGUCCGACAGCUGCAUCUACGCUAAGGUCACUCAUCUUUUUGACAAUGGGGCGACAGUUUUCUUUGCCGUAUUCAUGGCUGUUUGGGCAACAGUCUUCCUGGAGUUCUGGAAGAGACGCAGAGCCGUCCUCGCAUACGAUUGGGACCUCAUCGACUGGGAGGAAGAGGAGGAUGAAAUACGCCCUCAGUUUGAGGCAAAAUACUCCAAGAAGGAGAGAAUGAACCCCAUAUCUGGAAAACCAGAGCCAUACCAGGCCUUCACUGACAAAUACAGUCGCCUCAUUGUCUCAACAUCAGGGAUCUUCUUCAUGAUACUGGUGGUGAUUGCUGCUGUGUUUGGCAUCGUCAUUUACCGCGUGAUCACCGUCAGCACCUUCGCCGCCUUCGGCUGGGCUCUGAUCCGGAACAAUUCUCAGGUGGCGACUACGGGCACGGCGGUCUGCAUCAACUUCUGUGUCAUCAUGCUCCUGAACGUGCUCUAUGAGAAGGUUGCUCUCCUGCUCACCAAUUUAGAGCAACCGAGGACAGAGUCCGAGUGGGAGAACAGCUUCACCCUCAAGAUGUUCCUGUUUCAGUUUGUCAACCUUAACAGUUCAACAUUCUACAUCGCCUUCUUUUUGGGAAGAUUUACAGGCAGGCCUGGUGCAUAUCUACGCCUCAUCAAUCGCUGGAAACUGGAAGAAUGCCAUCCCAGCGGCUGCCUCAUCGACCUCUGCAUGCAGAUGGGGAUCAUCAUGGUGCUGAAGCAGACGUGGAACAACUUCAUGGAGCUUGGCUGCCCGCUGAUCCAGAACUGGUGGACACGGCGGAAACUGAGGCGAGAGCACGGACCCAACGCCAAGGCCUGCUUCCCUCAGUGGGAGCGCGAUUACCACCUGCAGCCCAUGAACGCCUAUGGGCUGUUCGAUGAAUACUUAGAGAUGAUUUUACAAUUUGGCUUCACCACCAUCUUCGUGGCGGCUUUCCCGCUGGCCCCGCUCUUAGCGCUGCUCAACAACAUCAUCGAGAUCCGCUUGGACGCCUACAAGUUUGUCACGCAGUGGCGGCGACCUCUGCCAACGCAAGCCAAAGACAUAGGGAUCUGGUAUGGUAUUCUGGAGGGCAUUGGCAUCUUGUCCGUCAUCACCAACGCCUUCGUCAUCGCCGUUACCUCAGACUUCAUCCCUCGCCUUGUUUACGCCUACAAGUACGGGCCGUGUGCGGGUCAGGGCCGGGCCGGGGAGGGCUGUAUGAUGGGUUAUGUCAACGCCAGCCUGUCGGUGUUCCGAGUGUCUGACUUUGAGAAGAGAUCAGAGCCCAGGACAAAUGGCACUGAGCUGUUCGGAGAGGCUGUGAAAUACUGCAGGUAUCGUGACUACAGGGAGCCUCCAGAUUCUGCUGAGCCCUACUCAUACACGCUGCAGUUCUGGCAUGUACUGGCAGCCCGGCUGGCAUUCAUCAUUGUGUUUGAGCAUAUGGUCUUCACUAUCAAGACCCUGAUUGCGUACCUGAUUCCAGACCUUCCCAAAGACCUGCGGGACCGUAUGCGCAGGGAGAAGUACCUUAUCCAGGAGAUGAUGUAUGAGGCCGAGCUGGAGAGGCUGCAGAAGGAGAAAAAUGAAAAGAAGAAGAAGAAGAAAGACAGGCCCCAUCACAAGGAAUGGCCCUGAAUGUACCCAACCAUUCCGGUUCAAGGUUACUCAGCUCUGUUUAUGCCCGGAGUUUCCAAAACUUGUCCGCUCAGGUGUGCUGCACACAGGAAGGAGAGAGGCGCUGGGUCUCCCGCAUGUCCGCAUCAUCCUCGUAUCUUCUUCAUGUCAUGUCAGAGCAGCGCCCCCGCGUGGACAGUGGUAAAAGUGCUCCCAACAGCAUUGCAGAAUGGACAGACCCCUUCUGAACGGAUGUAUUCUUUAACACUUAGCAGGUUUUGCUGCCCAUCACUUUUCUCUCUGGACUCUCAAUAAGUGUACAUCUUCAGAUGCUGAAUGUAGAUUUCAAGCAAGACUCUUGACUAUUGUGUUAGAUGAGAGAAUUAGACUCUCUCAAGCUUACUGAACAUUAAACUCUGUUUACAUUUCUCCUCAAUUGUUGAGUUCAUGUUUUGCAUUAUUGUAAAUAAAAGAUAUUUAAAUGAAUGCCAGGCCAUCUGCUCUGCUAAAGUGUAGUGCAACAAAAGACUGAAAUGACUCAAAGGACAAUGUCAAAGGUUUUUACAAGCCUCCUAUUGUUAGUCAGUAGCACAGAUGUAUUAAUUGUAUUUAAUAUUGCUUUUAUUUACUUUAUGUUAAUAUGUGUCUCUGCUUCUACCAGAAAACCUGAAAAUGACAUCAUCUAGAAGAGUUUAUGUUUUACUCCAUCAAGGUGUCAAGGUUACUCCUCCAGAUGACCUAACCUGAGUCACCUCCAGAUGAUGUCAGCAUGUGUUUCAGUUUGAAGUUAAAAAAAGCUGGUGAAACAAAAUGUAUUUUAUCCAAGCCAUGGCAGCGUGUCCACAAUUUGCCUAUAACACAAAUGCUUUCCAUUUGAAUUUAGAUUGAUAAUUGCUUUAAUAAACAUUAUUUAUUGUAAAGAA
Molecule: RNA transcript, 4560 nt
Organism: Betta splendens (Siamese fighting fish)
Lineage: Eukaryota; Metazoa; Chordata; Actinopteri; Anabantiformes; Osphronemidae
Gene name: anoctamin-4-like
Exons: 29
Source: RefSeq, a predicted model, not a curated record